AGUAAUGUCUGGGAAUCUGCCCAGUAGUGGGGGAUAGCUCGGGGAAACUCGAAUUAAUACCGCAUACACCCUACGGGGAAAAGGGGGCGCUUGCGCUCUCGCUAUUGGAUGAGCCUAAGUCGGAUUAGCUAGUUGGUGGGGUAAAGGCCUACCAAGGCGACGAUCUGUAGCUGGUCUGAGAGGAUGAUCAGCCACACCGGGACUGAGACACGGCCCGGACUCCUACGGGAGGCAGCAGUGGGGAAUAUUGGACAAUGGGGGGAACCCUGAUCCAGCCAUGCCGCGUGUGUGAAGAAGGCCUUUUGGUUGUAAAGCACUUUAAGCAGUGAAGAAGACUCUAUGGUUAAUACCCAUAGACGAUGACAUUAGCUGCAGAAUAAGCACCGGCUAACUCUGUGCCAGCAGCCGCGGUAAUACAGAGGGUGCAAGCGUUAAUCGGAAUUACUGGGCGUAAAGCGAGCGUAGGUGGCUUAAUAAGUCAGAUGUGAAAUCCCCGGGCUUAACCUGGGAACUGCAUCUGAUACUGUUAGGCUAGAGUAGGUGAGAGGGAGGUAGAAUUUCAGGUGUAGCGGUGAAAUG
Molecule: ribosomal RNA, 579 nt
Filed under: Psychrobacter sanguinis
Lineage: Bacteria; Pseudomonadati; Pseudomonadota; Gammaproteobacteria; Moraxellales; Moraxellaceae
Description: bacterial SSU rRNA
Rfam family: Bacterial small subunit ribosomal RNA
Source: RNAcentral